AUGACGCUGGCGGAUGUUUACACACGCAAGUUUAACGGCAGCACGGACUUACGGUCUGGUGGCGAUGUGGCGAACGGGUGAGUAAUACAUCGGAACGUGCCCAGUCGUGGGGGAUAACGUAGCGAAAGCUACGCUAAUACCGCAUACGAUCUAAGGAUGAAAGCGGGGGAUCGCAAGACCUCGCGCGAUUGGAGCGGCCGAUGGCAGAUUAGGUAGUUGGUAGGGUAAAGGCCUACCAAGCCGACGAUCUGUAGCUGGUCUGAGAGGACGACCAGCCACACUGGGACUGAGACACGGCCCAGACUCCUACGGGAGGCAGCAGUGGGGAAUUUUGGACAAUGGGCGAAAGCCUGAUCCAGCCAUUCCGCGUGCAGGAUGAAGGCCCUCGGGUUGUAAACUGCUUAUGUACGGAACGAAAAGGUCCUGGUUAAUACCUGGGGCUCAUGACGGUACCGUAAGAAUAAGCACACGGCUAACUACGUGCCAGCAGCCGCGGUAAUACGUAGGGUGCCACGCGUUAAUCGGAAUUACUGGGCGUCACCGCGUGCGCAGGCGGUGAUGUAAGACAGAGGUCGAAAUCCCCGGGCUCAACCUGGGAACUGCUUUGUGACUGCAUCGCUAGGAGUACGGAGAGGGGGAUGGAAUUACCGACGUGUACGCAGUUGAAAUGCGUCGAAUAUUGCGGAGGAACACCGAUUGGCGAAAGGCAACACCACUGGGCC
This 722-nucleotide ribosomal RNA is filed under the name uncultured beta proteobacterium. RNAcentral describes it as "bacterial SSU rRNA". It matches the Rfam family "Bacterial small subunit ribosomal RNA", at positions 30 to 734 of the family's 1533-position model. The record is from RNAcentral. Lineage: Bacteria; Pseudomonadati; Pseudomonadota; Betaproteobacteria.